Mesocricetus auratus (golden hamster) is the source of this 248-nucleotide unclassified non-coding RNA. Its record names the gene 7SK. It matches the Rfam family "7SK RNA". Rfam says of the family: 7SK was discovered as an abundant small nuclear RNA in the mid-70s but a possible function has only recently been suggested. Two independent studies have found that 7SK RNA binds the CDK9/cyclin T complex (known as elongation factor P-TEFb). P-TEFb activates transcription by phosphorylating the C-terminal domain of RNA polymerase II. The record is from Ensembl. Lineage: Eukaryota; Metazoa; Chordata; Mammalia; Rodentia; Cricetidae.
GGAUGUGAGGGUGAUCUGGCUAUGACAUCUGUCAUCCCAUUGAUUGCCAGGGUUGAUUCAGCUGAUUUGGCUGGCUAGGUGGGUGUCUCCUUCCUCCCUCACUGCUCCAUGUGCGUCCCUCCCGAAGGGUAUACAAUUAACUGCGCUUCCCUGCUAGAAUCUCCAAUAAGCUCUCAAGAAUCCCAUUACUAUUCCCUAUAACUUAGUGCAAAUGUACAUAAGCAAAUGAGCAGUUAUUCACUUUAUCU